RNAcentral lists this transfer RNA (87 nucleotides) under Schleiferiaceae bacterium. RNAcentral's name for it is "tRNA-Ser". It matches the Rfam family "tRNA". Rfam says of the family: Transfer RNA (tRNA) molecules are approximately 80 nucleotides in length. Lineage: Bacteria; Pseudomonadati; Bacteroidota; Flavobacteriia; Flavobacteriales; Schleiferiaceae. The record is from RNAcentral.
GGAGAGGUGCUGGAGUGGUCGAACAGGCACGCCUGGAAAGCGUGUGUACCGGCAACGGUACCGAGGGUUCGAAUCCCUCUCUCUCCG